Molecule: long non-coding RNA, 408 nt
Filed under: Helianthus annuus (common sunflower)
Lineage: Eukaryota; Viridiplantae; Streptophyta; Magnoliopsida; Asterales; Asteraceae
Description: hypothetical non coding rna
Source: RNAcentral
GGCGACAAUUAGUUGAGAAACCGGAGAAUUAGACUUUCAAGACUGCUAAGAAUCAAUUUUCCGACGGUGACAAUAACUGAGAAUUCCGGCGGCGACAAUAGCAUGAGUUUUCCGACGGCGAAAUGGAGGAUGACGACGGAGAUUGUUCGAUAUUUUCUUUGGAGUUCCGGCGAUAAUGGACUGAGUUUUGAAUCAGAUGGCUGGUUACAGUUGAGUUUUUUCAAAGAUCGAUGAACGAUUUCCGAAGUUUGAUUUUGUUAUUCUUGUUUGAGAUGAUGAUCAGAAACACUGCUCUGAUACCAUGUUGUUUGGUAUAGAGAAGAAUCCUUGAAUUGGGUUUGAGUUGUAUUGAGAAUUGUUUUUAUGAUAAAAAAAAGGGUUACAAAGAAUGGUGUUUAUAUAGAACAC